Molecule: ribosomal RNA, 916 nt
Filed under: uncultured archaeon
Lineage: Archaea
Description: bacterial SSU rRNA
Rfam family: Archaeal small subunit ribosomal RNA
Source: RNAcentral
UUCCGGUUGAUCCUGCCGCCGGACCUGACUGCUAUCGGAUUGAUACUAAGCCAUGCGAGUCAUUGUAGCAAUACAAGGCAUACGGCUCAGUAACGCGUAGUCAACCUAACCUAUGGACGGGAAUAACCUCGGGAAACUGAGAAUAAUGCCCGAUAGAACAUUAUGCCUGGAAUGGUUUAUGUUCCAAAUGAUUUAUCGCCGUAGGAUGGGACUGCGGCCUAUCAGUUUGUUGGUGAGGUAAUGGCCCACCAAGACUAUUACAGGUACGGGCUCUGAGAGGAGUAGCCCGGAGAUGGGUACUGAGACACGGACCCAGGCCCUAUGGGGCGCAGCAGGCGAGAAAACUUUGCAAUGUGCGAAAGCACGACAAGGUUAAUCCGAGUGGUUUCUGCUAAAGGAACCUUUUGUCAGUCCUAGAAACACUGAUGAAUAAGGGGUGGGCAAGUUCUGGUGUCAGCCGCCGCGGUAAAACCAGCACCUCAAGUGGUCAGGAUGAUUAUUGGGCCUAAAGCAUCCGUAGCCGGCUCUGUAAGUUUUCGGUUAAAUCUGUACGCUCAACGUACAGGCUGCCGGGAAUACUGCAAAGCUAGGGAGUGGGAGAGGUAGACGGUACUCGGUAGGAAGGGGUAAAAUCCUUUGAUCUAUUGAUGACCACCUGUGGCGAAGGCGGUCUACCAGAACACGUCCGACGGUGAGGGAUGAAAGCUGGGGGAGCAAACCGGAUUAGAUACCCGGGUAGUCCCAGCUGUAAACCAUGCAAACUCAGUGAUGCAUUGGCUUGUGGCCAAUGCAGUGCUGCAGGGAAGCCGUUAAGUUUGCCGCCUGGGAAGUACGUACGCAAGUAUGAAACUUAAAGGAAUUGGCGGGGGAGCACCCACAGGGGUGAGCCUGCGGUUCAAUUGGAGUCAACGCCGGG